Molecule: long non-coding RNA, 697 nt
Filed under: Oryctolagus cuniculus (rabbit)
Lineage: Eukaryota; Metazoa; Chordata; Mammalia; Lagomorpha; Leporidae
Description: lncRNA (ENSOCUG00000033138.1)
Source: RNAcentral
CACCCAUCCAGCCCUGCAGAAGAUGCUUAAAAAUGUGCUGCACACAGAAACACAGAAGAGUGGCCAGGGAGCUCUGUUCAGUGCUCCAGGGUGAAAGGCUUAUCUGAGGUGACACACCCAGGCAUGGCAUGGUAAACCUGUUUGUUUUUGUUUUUGUUUUAAAUCAGAGCGAAGGUUUCUUCUUGUCUAUUGGCAUUGACUAAGCGGAGCUCCUCUCCUUGAAGGACACCAAUGUCUGGGUGCUAACUCCAGAGAGUAUAUUAUUCAUUUGCUCUGUGACAAGGACCACGCAAAGGAUCUGUGCAGUACUCAGUGUAAGCUCGGAUUCCCAGCAAUGUCCUUCGCCAGGAGGAGUCAAGGUGGACUUGGGGAUGCUGAGAAGAGUGGGCAGAUUUACCACCGAACAGUGUGGCCUGGAUGAGUAUUUCUUUAUCUUCAUGAAAGAUGGGGUUUGCACAUCCUUGGUUUAUUAGUUGUGUGCACAUCAUUGCUUUUUCCAAUGUGUACAAGAAUGUGUUCUUACCAUGAAAAUAACUAUAUUUGCUAACAAAUUUGGGAGUUAGCUAGAUUUAACCAUUCCAUAGUGUAUACAUACUUUAAAGCAUCAUGUUGUACAUGAUAAAAAUAUACAAUGCCAUCUGCCAAUUCAAUAAGCAUUAAAAAUAAAUGAAAUGAAACUAUUAAAAAUAGAAAUCUG